Mus musculus (house mouse) is the source of this 1154-nucleotide long non-coding RNA. RefSeq annotates it as predicted gene, 53818. The record is from RefSeq and is a predicted model, not a curated record. The transcript has 3 exons. Lineage: Eukaryota; Metazoa; Chordata; Mammalia; Rodentia; Muridae.
AAUAAAAUCCUCUAGGCUUUGUAGAAGGAGACAACCAGUUCAAAGGACUUUACAUAAGACUACUUGGAAAAGUUGCAUUUCAUUGCGCUACAAUGAGCAAAGAAACCGAGUGGCUAUAAAUGACUCCAAGUGCAUUCUAAUGCCUAUAAGGACCUCCAACCGCCGCCUGGAACCUUCCAAGUUCUCCUGCCAUCUGGUCUACCUUCAAAGUAAACACACGCCAGAAGCAGGUGUUUUGCACCUUUAAACCAAGAGUGCUGGUGGGAGUCUGACCAUCUGGACAGCAGCAGGAUUCUGUGGACUUACCUAGUUCCACGAGGAAGAUACCAAAAUCCUUUUCUUGGCUGCAUAGGUGCCGAAGGAGCACUCAGGCAUUCCGGAAGUCAGCAAUGACCAAGUCUCAGCUGUAGAUCCGUGGUGCUCCUCCUCACACUGUCCUUCUGGCUCUCCUCUCAUGGACAGGACAGUUUGUUCCGCAAGUAACUACUGUCGCCAAACACUGUUCAAUAUAGGGACCUCAAGAGCAGGAAGAGGUUGCUUCCUGCAGGUAGCACGAUGCAAUCUGGUGCCAGGAAGCGCUUCUGUUGUGCUGACAGGCUGAGCCUCCGGAUAGUAACUCAUUAUUGCUAAAGUCUACCCGAGGCUCCUUCUCAGCUUCCAGAGGAGCAAAGCGAAGACUGCCUCAUUGCUCCUAUGUGAGUGGCUGGGCACACACUAUGGCUUUGCUCACAUCACCAGACAUCGUCUGUUCUUGCUGCAAGUUAGCAAUCUGAUUAAGAUUUCUGGUUAAAGUGCUAUCAAUGCGACCUCUUGUUCCUUAGACGUGACUUGUUGUAUGUUGAUUACUGUGUAUGACAUGGAAAGAUGGAAAGAUGUGGAGACUUUGACAUUUCCCCAGUUCUUUCUGACCUCCCCCAGGCAGGGAGAGUGAUACAGACAGGAUGGGGGUUAGAGGAUUCUGAGAGGGAAAAUGCAGGUUAGGGGAUUAAGGAGGGGGAGGGAGAAGUCAGGUUGGAUUUGUGAAAUGUAAAACAGGACACUUGGCAGCAAGCAUCUUGUCCUCUUCCCUCACAAGAUGCUUCUAAGUUUGUCCUUGCUUCUGAAAAAUCAGUGUCGUUGCUAGGACGUGCUUACUCAUAAUAAAGGUGUGAGUU